This 73-nucleotide transfer RNA is filed under the name Clostridiales bacterium. RNAcentral's name for it is "tRNA-Thr". It matches the Rfam family "tRNA". From Rfam's summary of the family: Transfer RNA (tRNA) molecules are approximately 80 nucleotides in length. Lineage: Bacteria; Bacillati; Bacillota; Clostridia; Eubacteriales. The record is from RNAcentral.
GCCGACGUAGCUCAAUUGGCAGAGCAAUUGACUUGUAAUCAAUAGGUUACCGGUUCAAGUCCGGUCGUCGGCU